This 468-nucleotide ribosomal RNA is filed under the name uncultured bacterium. Its description in RNAcentral is "partial 16S ribosomal RNA". It matches the Rfam family "Bacterial small subunit ribosomal RNA", at positions 28 to 507 of the family's 1533-position model. The record is from RNAcentral.
GACGAACGCUGGCGGCGUGCUUAACACAUGCAAGUCGAACGGAAAGGCCCUGCUUUUGUGGGGUGCUCGAGUGGCGAAAGGGUGAGUAACACGUGAGUAACCUGCCCUUGACUUUGGGAUAACUUCAGGAAACUGGGGCUAAUACCGGAUAGGAGCUCCUGCUGCAUGGUGGGGGUUGGAAAGUUUCGGCGGUUGGGGAUGGACUCGCGGCUUAUCAGCUUGUUGGUGGGGUAGUGGCUUACCAAGGCUUUGACGGGUAGCCGGCCUGAGAGGGUGACCGGCCACAUUGGGACAGAGAUACGGCCCAGACUCCUACGGGAGGCAGCAGUGGGGGAUAGUGCACAAUGGGCGGAAGCCUGAUGCAGCAACGCCGCGUGCUGGAUGACGGCCGGCGGGUUGUAAACCGCGUUCGCCUGUGACGAAGCGUGAGUGACGGUAAUGGGUAAAGAAGCACCGGCUAACUACGUG